RNAcentral lists this ribosomal RNA (475 nucleotides) under uncultured organism. Its description in RNAcentral is "partial 16S ribosomal RNA". It matches the Rfam family "Bacterial small subunit ribosomal RNA", at positions 334 to 800 of the family's 1533-position model. The record is from RNAcentral.
CACUCCUACGGGAGGCAGCAGUGGGGAAUAUUGCACAAUGGGCGCAAGCCUGAUGCAGCCAUGCCGCGUGUAUGAAGAAGGCCUUCGGGUUGUAAAGUACUUUCAGCGGGGAGGAAGGCGAUAAGGUUAAUAACCUUGUCGAUUGACGUUACCCGCAGAAGAAGCACCGGCUAACUCCGUGCCAGCAGCCGCGGUAAUACGGAGGGUGCAAGCGUUAAUCGGAAUUACUGGGCGUAAAGCGCACGCAGGCGGUCUGUCAAGUCGGAUGUGAAAUCCCCGGGCUCAACCUGGGAACUGCAUUCGAAACUGGCAGGCUAGAGUCUUGUAGAGGGGGGUAGAAUUCCAGGUGUAGCGGUGAAAUGCGUAGAGAUCUGGAGGAAUACCGGUGGCGAAGGCGGCCCCCUGGACAAAGACUGACGCUCAGGUGCGAAAGCGUGGGGAGCAAACAGGAUUAGAUACCCGGGUAGUCCCAUGA